GCUAGAGGGAAGUUGGCAAGCAGAAAUACAGAAGCGAAACACUGAAAGAGAGGGAAUUUUUACAGAUUGUUCUUAAGAUAACAUGUUCUGUUAUGGAGUUGGGUAAGCAUGACGGAACACUGCACACUCAACAGACCUUCCUGGCACAACAACAAGUACGUUCCUGGAACUCGAUGUCCCCCUGGUGAUCUGUAACAGAAGCAGACAAGUUGGGGCCCUAUUACAAAAUGGAGUAACUGUUGUUCAGUCUCACAGCUCCUGAACCCAAGGAGUCCAAAGUUUCCAGGCAGCAUCUGAAUGAUAGUUUGGUGGGAUAUUUGCUGUGCCCCCCCCCCAGCAAGAAUAUAGCACCUUUGGGGAUUGUGACUGCCAGUUCCACAGCUCAGAGUUGCAGGAAUGAGCAGCCUCACAACCUCCAGACUUCACAUAUCACAGGUGGUGCUCACCAUGUCUGCGCCAUGUAACAGGAAAAUGGCACAAGCUGAAAGGCCCCUACUGACAAGGUGAUGUCAUGCUUUCAGUGCAUUUCCUGUCUGUGAAUACCACAAUAAGAUUGCAACAAGAACUCGGAGCUCAUUCAUCAAUAAUUGUUGAGAUGAACUUCAGUUUAUCAUUUAUCGGAACAAAAAAUCUAUAAUUUAUUCUUGUGCCUAGAAAAUCAAGCUGUCUGUGACUCGGCGGUCUAUGCUGGAGAGUAAGAGCCAAAGUAUGAGGUGAGU
Molecule: non-coding RNA, 719 nt
Organism: Heterocephalus glaber (naked mole-rat)
Lineage: Eukaryota; Metazoa; Chordata; Mammalia; Rodentia; Bathyergidae
Source: RefSeq, a predicted model, not a curated record